RNAcentral lists this ribosomal RNA (556 nucleotides) under uncultured bacterium. RNAcentral's name for it is "partial 16S ribosomal RNA". The record is from RNAcentral.
GGAGUUAGCCGGUGCUUCUUCUGUGAGUGAUGUCCUUCCUGCCGGUUAUUGACCCGCAGGCCUUCUUCCUCACUGAAAGUGCUUUACAACCCGAAGGCCUUCUUCACACACGCGGCAUGGCUGGAUCAGGGUUGCCCCCAUUGUCCAAUAUUCCCCACUGCUGCCUCCCGUAGGAGUCUGGGCCGUGUCUCAGUCCCAGUGUGGCUGAUCAUCCUCUCAGACCAGCUACGGAUCGUCGCCUUGGUGAGCCGUUACCUCACCAACCAGCUAAUCCGACAUAGGCUCAUCCGAUAGCGCGAGGCCCGAAGGUCCCCCGCUUUCCCCCGUAGGGCGUAUGCGGUAUUAGCCUGGGUUUCCCCAGGUUAUCCCCCACUACCGGGCCAGAUUCCUAUGCAUUACUCACCCGUCCGCCGCUCGCCACCAGGGAGCAAGCUCCCCGUGCUGCCGCUCGACUUGCAUGUGUUAGGCCUGCCGCCAGCGUUCAAUCUGAGCCAGGAAUCGAAACCCUCGUACGUACGUAGACGGGCGGUCGGUCGGACGGACGGGCCGACGUAGU